RNAcentral lists this ribosomal RNA (460 nucleotides) under uncultured bacterium. RNAcentral describes it as "partial 16S ribosomal RNA". It matches the Rfam family "Bacterial small subunit ribosomal RNA", at positions 338 to 795 of the family's 1533-position model. The record is from RNAcentral.
CCUACGGGUGGCAGCAGUGAGGAAUAUUGGUCAAUGGACGAGAGUCUGAACCAGCCAAGUAGCGUGAAGGAUGACUGCCCUAUGGGUUGUAAACUUCUUUUAUAUGGGAAUAAAAUGUUCCACGUGUGGGAUUUUGUAUGUACCAUAUGAAUAAGGAUCGGCUAACUCCGUGCCAGCAGCCGCGGUAAUACGGAGGAUCCGAGCGUUAUCCGGAUUUAUUGGGUUUAAAGGGAGCGUAGGUGGAUUGUUAAGUCAGUUGUGAAAGUUUGCGGCUCAACCGUAAAAUUGCAGUUGAAACUGGCAGUCGUGAGUACAGUAGAGGUGGGCGGAAUUCGUGGUGUAGCGGGUAAAUGCUUAGAUAUCACGAAGAACUCCGAUUGCGAAGGCAGCUCACUGGACUGCAACUGACACGGAGGCUCGAAAGUGUGGGUAUCAAACAGGAUUAGAUACCCGGGUAGUC